This 32705-nucleotide long non-coding RNA is filed under the name Marmota monax (woodchuck). The stretch from base 13368 to 13440 matches the Rfam family "tRNA". The record is from RNAcentral. Lineage: Eukaryota; Metazoa; Chordata; Mammalia; Rodentia; Sciuridae.
CCCGCCCAGCCCUCGGAGGGGGCCGUCCUUCCGAAGAAACGAAAGUGAAGUUGACCCGGAGCCAUCUUGCGCCCGGCACACUGGCGCGGGGUUCGCGUCCCGGGGGGCUUCGGGUGCAGGCGGGCGCGCAGGCGGGGCGAUGCCCGAGGGGCGCCAUGGAUCCUUGGCAGGUAAGCCGUCCGCGGGGUGCGCUGCGACGGCGCCCGCCUUGUGCGGCGUGGCUGCGGGAGCCGGUUUCCGGGGCCGAGCCGGGCGCACGUCCCUUCCCGGUGCGGCUCCAGCGGCGCGCGGGGCAGGGAUCCGGGAGAAGGGGCACCCCGAGCAGCAGCACCCCAGCCCCGGGCCGCUCUCGGCCAGGGCUCCGCCGCUGCCCCCAGCCGCACUCCAGCCCCACUCGAACGACUUUCCCGACUUUUAGCAGCCCUCCUCCCCACACCCCUUGCACCCCCAGAGGAGGCCUUAGCGAGACUAAAAGUAGCCCUUGAGGACCUGUCGGGGAAGUCUGUGGCCGCUUGUGCACCGCAGCUGAAAACUGGAAAAACUCCCACGUCCUGCAACAGGUUGAUAGGAAGCCCGUAGGUCCCUGCUGUGGAGUGCGGUUCAGCAGUUUAGUAAGGAAUCACACAUUCCUGCAGCUCGGAUGUCGUCACGAUCUUAGUACACAGAUGUGGCGCUUCUCUGCCCAGGUCCCUGGCAUUCUGGAAAAACUACAGGAACAAAAAACAGAUCCGUGCCGGGGGAAGAGGUUGACAGCAGAGCGUCUUGAGGAACUUAGGGGGGAGUAGAAGUGCUCUAUGUCCGGCUAUAUUUUUAUUUAUUUAUUUACUUAUUUUUGUGAAACUGAGGCGUGAACCCAGGACCUCACACGUGGUAGACAAGCAACUGUUUCACUGAGCUGCAUCCCCAGCCUUUUAAAUUUUAUUUUGAGUCAGGGUCUCUGUAAAUUGCCCAGGCUGGUCUUGAACUUCCAGUCCUUUUGCUGUAACCCCUGGAAUAGUUGGGACUACAGGUACGUGCCGCUGCUCCCAGCUUUGAAGUGUUCUGUGAUAAGAGCACUCACCUAGCAUGUGCAGGGCCCUGGGUUCAAGCCCCAGCACCAAAAAAUAAAUAAGGCCCUUCUUUAAAGGAUUAGGGAGACCUGACUUGAAGAAGUAUUUCUUCAGACAUACCAGAGGGUGGCGCUGUGGAGCCAUGUGGUAAAGGUGGGGGGCUUUAGUCUCUUGAUUCUAAAUAUAAGAGGCUAAGUUAAAAUGAAAUCCAGGAGGCUGUGAAUGUCAGAUGACUUGUUAUGCAGUUUGCUCAGUAAAGAGACAUGAAGUGGGAGAGAAGUGGGGUGAGGGUUUAGGAAGGACCACCAUGGGCAGGUUUCCUACCUGUCGCUCCCACACCAUUGGUGGUUAUCUGCAUGGCUGUUCUAAAGUGGGACUUGGUUUUUAGGGUGCUGAAAGGGGUAAGAAGACAAUGACCCUCCCUCCCCCUCUAACACAACUUCCCCAAAAUAACUGUGAAAAAAUUCACGUAUCAUUUCUCUUUUUUCUCUGAAUUCAUUCUAGCUUAUGCACAUGUACAUUUAUAUACGUACAUGUAUACAUAUGAGUUUUUCCUUAUUUAUAAAAAAAGAGAAAAAAUAAUGUAUAUGUAUUCUGAAACUUGCUUUUAUGUUGUUGUUUUAGUCAAUAUAUUCCUAAAUUUUCUCUAGGUGAAUACAAAUAGAUCUAAAACACACACACACACACACACACACACACACACACACACACUGGGGAUUGAACCCAGGAGCAGUUUACUACUGAGCCCCGUCCUUUUUUUUUUUAACUACAGGGUGUCACUAAGUUGCUGAGGCUGGCCUCAAACUUGUAAUCCUCGUGCCUCAGGCUCUUGAGUCACUGGAAUUACAGGUGUGUGCCACCCCCCUGGCCAUAUUUUUUUUUUUUUAAGGUGGAUUCAAUAUCUUUAGUUUGCAUUUAUGUGGUGCUGAGGAUCGAACCCGGUGCCCUGUGCAUGCUAGGACGAGCACUCUACCACUGAGCCACAACCCAAGCCCCCCCCGGCCAUAUUUUUAAACCCCGUGUGAAUACUGUUCCACAGCAUGAGUGUUUCAUCAUUUAUUCAACCUUUUUUUUUUUUUUAGGUGGGUACUCAAAGAUUUGCCAGAUUUUGGUUGAGAGUAGCAGUUUGACUCUAGAAAACACCUGGUAGAAACUGACUUCAGAACAGUUUUCUUUUCUGAAAGGUACUCAAAGAGCUAAUCAGAAAACCCCUAAAAAUCCCCAUAAUCCAGCUCUGUGAUUGGGGUGCUCACUGUGUCCACACAACAUCUCUGCCCCUAGCAAUAUGGGGGGACAGAGAUACAAUAGAGGAGCGAGGGCUGGGGUUGCUGCUCAGUGGAAGAGCAUUUGCGUAGCAGCGGGGGGCACUAGGUCCGAUUCUCAGCACCGCAUGUAAAUGAAGAAAAUAAAGGUCCCUUUACAAAUAAGUAAAUAAAUAAAUAGAACCUGUCUCAAAUUUUUUAAAAAAGGACUAGGGAUGUAUAUCAGUGGUAAAGCAUCCCUGGACUCAGUGAAUUCCCCCACCCCCAAAAAAGAGGAGUGAGGAAGGGGGUGCCAUUGCUUGCCUGGGUGCCUUGUUCACGCAUUCAUGUGUGUUGCUUGGUGGUUUUAAUUUUGUGCCAGGUGCUGGGGAGACAAAGGUGACCGUAGCCUAGUCCUUGUCCCCCAAGAGUUCCCUGUGGAGUCAGCCACAGCCCCCAUGGGCACUGUGUGGGAGUGGAGGUGUGAUUUCUGGGCGCCUGACCUUGUUAAUGGCCUUUCAGAUACACUGUAUCUAUGCCAUGAUCAAAAAAUCUAAAGCUAUGAUGAAGCCAGUGGUCCAGCAGGUGCUGACUGGGUGGAGUUCCAGGAGGGGACUCUGGGCUGAGGGAGGUGGGAGUCAGGAGCCUCCUGAAGAAAGUGGCCUUUAGGAGAUUUGUGAGGAAAGGGCCAGUCGUGGAGGGCAGAGGUGCCGCGCUGGUGUGGCGGGAGAGGAGCAGAAGGACUUGAGGCUUCUGUGUAGUCUGAGUAAGAGGCAGUGACGAGGGGCUGCAACCCGAAUGGGACACAGUUCCUCCAGAGGUGGUGGGCCAGACAGGGCAAGGCAGCCGCCGGCUUAGAGGGGCCGUGAGGAAGGAGGGCAGACAGCCAGGUCCCUGGCCUUAGUGACCUGCGAGAAGGAUGCCGUGAACAGUGACAACGGGAGAGGAGGGUGGCUUUGAGGGAAAUGAUAAAUUUGGUCCAGAAUAUGUGGCAUUUGAGGUAAUGGAGGGUUACUUGAGUGCACAGGUAUCUAGGUAGUUGGUGCGAAGUGGCAGCUGGCUAGACGCGAGUUGCUUCAGGGGGCUGGCUUGGGUUGGCGGAGUGGGUGACGUCAACCUAGUGGACAAAAUAUAAAGAAAACUCUUAGACAAGCCAUGGGGACUGAGGGUAUAGAAAGGGCAGGAGAAGGGGACAGAGAUGAUCUUUGAUGCUGUGUCACCAGAUCCUGGGAGGAGAGUUUUGUGAAGAAGAAGCUUUAUCUGUGGUGAGCCCGUGCAGUUUAUGGAACUGGGUGGCCAACAGUGGAGACCCAGCCACGGCUCAAGAGCAGGACGUGUAUGCACCUGUUAGCACAGUCAUUGUCCUUCAGUUCCACGGAAGCUUGGGUGAAGAGACAGCGCCCAGUGGGUGCUGGGUAGAGAGGCAAACUGACCAUAGAUCCAGGCAGAGUGAGGGAGCGUUCAGAGACGUGGGGAAGCUGCCCCCAGAAAGGAGCAGGAGUCGGCCAGUGCAGCCCACAGCUGACCCCUGUUUUGGGGAAUGGAGAUCCCGGUAAAGAAAUCGUCCCUAAACGUUGACAUGCUGUGAGUGGCUGCUUUGUGCUAUAAUGGCACAGCUCUCUGGCCCUUUCUAGAAAAAAGAUGCCAGCCACUGGAGAAGAGUUUCAGGGUUUGAGGGGUCAGCCGUGGCCUGGGUUGGCAUUAAUGGUGAUAUCAGAGGGGCAGCUGGAUAAGCCAGACAUGUGGCUGAAAGAGGAGAGGGAGGUCACCUUCAUAGAGAUCAAGGAACCCUACAACCAGAAUCAUCGGCAAGAAUGCCAACGUCCCCUACUUGUGGGGAGUAGAAAGCACAGCUGUUGAAGAAAGGGGUGCAGCUGCUCCUGGAGCCUUCAGGAGGACCGGAGGAGGGGACAUAAACACGAGGUGCAGCCCCUCCCAAGCCUGCAGCCCUGGGCAAAGGAAGCAGAGUGCCUCCUGCCACCCCCAGCCCCAUGAGCACCUCCUGCCUGCUGCACACUCAGUACGCGGCACCAGGGAGAGGAAGAGCCCCAGAUGGAGGGCCCUGGUGGAUGGGCCACAGCUGCUCCACUGCAGUGCACAUAUGGCGACAGGAGAAUUUGGGGUCUCUUGUGCUCACACAGCAGAGCUCAGAAGGGGGGGCCAUGGAAGCAACCCUUGGGAGGUAGCUGGCAGGGUAGGAGGCUGAGGGUAAGGAGGGGACCCUGCCCGGGUGCUUGGGAGAAGUGCCAGGGCUCCCUCCCAAUCCCAGGCCUGGGCACUAUGCUGAGGAGCAAGGACAGUGUGCCAGUCCUGUAAGGACACCUUCCAGCUUCCCUAAAACCACACUGUGAGCCUCGUGGGAGGCCAGUGACAAGCAGGGGGCCCGCUCAGGCCCUCUCCGUUUUACAACCAGGGCUGACACGUGGGGGAGCCUGGCUCAAGGAGGGGGAGCCCUGUCCAUCCGCAGCCCCCUCACGCCCUUCCUUUUUCAGGGUUCUGGUUUUGGUUUUAAGACAAAAUGCGAUUUGUUUUCGGGUUCCGGAGGGUCUCUUGGCGUUGGUGGGAAGGUUCCUGUCAACUCUCCAAAAGGCUGUGGAAAGGGAGACUAGUUAGGUCUCUGGAGAGGCUGGGGCACUCGAACCCCGGCUGGGUGCCCCUGUGCUCCGCCUCCUGUCCCCUGUGUGCCAUUGGUGGCCCCAGGCAGUACUUAAGAGGUGGCUAAGUCACCCCAGCGAGGUCGUAAGCCCAUGACUGUCACCUUUUCAGCCUGUUGGAAACCGGAACGUCUUCCCGGGCAGGGUCAGGAGGGGACCCCGCGGCCUCGCUGCAGCCUGGUUCAUCCCUCUGCUCCCUCUGUCCACAGGGGUGUUUCUUCAACGGACACCGCCCCCGCCCUGGCCACGGCUAUGAGCACAGCAAGGCCAGACAGCAGCAGCCGUGGCAGGAAUCGCGCACCGGUAGCUUCCGGCUCCAGCAAAUAGAGUUUCUCAAGGGGCGGCUCUCAGAAGUGCCCCUGACUGGAACGCAGGCACCGUCCCUGCCACCACCAGUAGUCCCCCCAGGACUCUGGCCCAGGUUUCCGGGACCACCUGUUAGAGCCAGGCAGCCUGAGAUCUGGGGGGUCUGCAGCGGCGUGCCUCUCAGAGGUCAGGGGCUGCAGGCAGUGCCCCAGCUUCCCCUGCCAGGUGGCAGGGGCCUGCCGUGGAGAGGUGCUGACCGGCUCUCCUCCCGCUUCCAGGGACUGAGCAUCAGUCAGGGCCAGGAGGAAAGGGUCUUAGAGUUCCUAAAGGAGCUCGGGGAAGGGAAGGACACCACAGCGCAGGAGCUGGCCAGGAAGCUCAGGGUCCCCAAGAGAGAGGUCAAUCAAGCUUUGUACUCCCUGGCAAAGAAGGGUCAGCUGCACAGGAAGCAGGGCACACCCCCUUUGUGGAGCGCUGCGGCCUCCGUUCCAGCCCGGAGCCAGCCCGGCACACUGGUACAGCCCGACCUUCAGAGCCAGGGAGCCCCAAGCCCAGAGCCCAACUCAGAAUCUGAAGAAAGUCACCCCACAUCUGACUCAGAAGAUCCUCCUGAGCCUGUGGACAUGGCUGAGAUCAAGGAGAAGAUCUGCGACUACCUGUUCAACGUGUCUAACUGCUCCGCCCUGAGUCUGGCUAAAAACAUCGGCUUCACCAGAGCCCGAGAUGUGAACGCAGUGCUGUGCGACAUGGAAAAGCAGGGCGACGUCUACCGGCAAGGGGCCAUCCCCACCUGGUACCUGACGGACAAGAAGCGAGAGAGGAUGCAGAUCAAGAGGAACACACAGAGUGCUCCCGCGGCCACCCAGGGUGCUGUCCCCGCCACCAGCAGGAACACGGCAUUCCCCACCUAUCACCUCCCCCCACCCAACGCCCCAAACAAUACAAUGACCACAGAAAAAGCGGAGAAUGGGCAGGACCCGCUCAUAAGGUUAGAGAGUAGACAGGAGCCCAGACCAGGGCCCAUGAAACUGAGGCCCCCUGUUUAUCACAAUGGCCCCUCAAAAGCAGGGUAUGUUGACUUUGAAAAUGGCCAGUGGGCCACAGAUGACAUCCCGGAUGACUUGAAUAGCAUCCACGCGGCACCGGGUGAGUUCCGAGCCAUCAUGGAGAUGCCCUCCUUCUACAGCCACGGCUUGCCCCGGUGCUCGCCCUACAAGAAGCUGACCGAGUGCCAGCUGAAGAACCCCGUCAGCGGGCUGCUGGAGUACGCGCAGUUCGCCAGCCAGACCUGCGAGUUCCACCUCAUCGAGCAGAGCGGGCCCCCCCACGAGCCCCGGUGAGCCCCUGCCGGACGCGCCUAGGGCCGGACCAACAAGCCUCGGCCGACUGUGAGCGGUGCCCUUCGGUGGCCCUGUCCCCCUCUUCCUUUUUGGCCUUUGGCUGAAUCAUCCUCCUUUGGCCCAUUCUCUGGGCAGUGGGCCUGGAGCCACCAGAAUCCUGGCCGAGCCAAGGGGGAGACGGACUCUUGGCUGAACUGAGGCUUCCUUAGAAAUCUCGGCUUUCAGGCACCGGGUCUCGCCUGCCCCUGAGGCCCUAGGCCAGGACCUAACUCCCUCCCCACCUCCCCCUCGAGUUGGGUUCCUGGACCAGGUACAGGAACAGGACCGCCAAGGGUGGGCCACACCAGGAUAAGGGCGUGUGCAGAGAGCCCAGGUGCACCCCCUCAACUGGGAGGCAGGCCCGCCCGCCCCCCCACCUGCCUGCUGAGGGUGGUAGUCUAACUUUAAACACCUCCUCUGCACAGAGAGGCGGGCUGGCACUGCUGAGAAGCACCUGAGGUUCCUUCAGACAGCUGGCGGGCCUUACACUCUUGGCCCCGUAGGCCAGGACAGACAGACAGGUGGGCCCAGAAAGGACCUGGAGCCAUUGACUCAAGUCCGAGUGGCUGCAAGCCGCUGCUGGACAGAACCAGAGAGAAUGGGAAACAUGCCACCAACUUUUAUAGUUACAUGUCAGGUGCAGGGACACGUCCUGAGCAAUGUCCUGUUAGGUGAUUUUGUCACUGUACCAACCUAGAGUGUGCUUACACAAGCCUACGACAGCCACAGGUCACUGGGCAGUAUUACCUUGUGGGUCCACUGUUGUGUUACGUGGUCCAUCAUCGGCCCAAACGUCCUUGUGGCGUGGGACAGCGUUUACACGGCUGCUUUCCAGACUGAGGUGCCCCCUUUGGCCCUUGGUCCUCCUCUGACCGUCUUAAUGGCCCCAAGUUGGCGUUACAGGGGAGCUCUUAGGAAGAGGGGUAUGUCUGUCCAGAAGCUGGCAGGGCCAUGACGGUUUUGUCUCUGUUUGCGACAGAGGCUGAGUGGCUGUCAUCCUUUUCCCACCAGCCCCCUUCGCCAGAGUUGGGGGACAGCCAGGAGUUUUGUGGUUAAAUAAUUUUUUGACCUUCAGCUAUAGGACAUCGGUGCCGUGUUAAGUACUUCAGAAGACCUGGGAGAUAAGAAAUCUGACCUCCUUUUCUAGAUGAAACCCAGACUGAGCGAAGAGCUAAGGAAAAUAUAGAAGCUUGACUACAAGAGGCCUAGGCUGGGUCUAGCAGCCCGUAACAAAUGCUUUUGGUUUUCUUUAUAACAAGGGAAAUUCCUUCACCUCAGGCUCGGAGGAAGUUGAGAGGUCUAGCAUGACUUAACACACGUUUUAAGAGUGAAUUAUCUUUGGGGGUAACUUAGGGACAAACAUCCCUGGAGGCUGCCCCGUCCUCCUCUGCCCCCUUCCCCAGCCUGCCCCUCGUCCUCCCACAUCCUCCCCUUCUCCCUCCACCCAGUGGGGGCCCCGAUGAGCGGCAGUGUGUGGAGAGCAGGAGACUGAUACGGACACACCUCUGCUCUCUUUCUUCUUUCUUUCCUUUUGCAGUGCUGGGGAUCGAGCCCAGGCUCUAAUGCCAUUGAGCCACACCCCCCAGGCCUUCUCUAUUUUUUAGGACCUUCCUGAGGAGGCCAGUCCACCUCGUUUGCUUUAGGAUGAAGGCUUUUGGGUUGCUGUCGAGACUAUAAUGGUGAUUUUAGCCCGUGGCUUAUUGCACACAACUUAUUAUAUUUAAGGCAUGGGGGGGUCUCCUGUGAGCAAGGUUCCUAUCACCCACUGUGGUGGCUGUGCAUGCUUCACUGACCUAUGGGGACAGAGUCACUGGCUGCUCUGUUCCCUAGAAGAACGGACAAGCUGCCAGGUGCACACCUAUAAUCCCAGUGGUUUGGGAAGCCGAGGCAGGCGGAUUGAGAGUUCAAAGCCAGCCUCGGCAACUUAGUGAGGCCCUGACCAACUCAGCAAGACCUGUCUCUAAAUAAAAUGCAGAAAAGGGCUGAGGGUGUGGCUCAGUGGUUGAGUGUCCCCGAUUCAGUCCCUGGUACCAAAAAAAAAGAAGGGACAGGCCAAGCCUCCAAACGGACAGAAAUUCCUGGCCUACCCUCCAAGUCCGCUCCGUGGGGUGGGACACGCGGGAGGGAGGUGUCUUUGGGAAGAGCAGAGAGGUGGCCCGGCUUGGCUUCUCAUGUCUGACUGCCUUCCGCCAAGGUUUAAGUUCCAGGUUGUCAUCAGUGGCCGCGAGUUCCCCCCGGCGGAAGCUGGCAGCAAGAAGGUGGCCAAGCAGGAUGCAGCUCUGAAAGCCAUGACGAUCCUACUGCGGGAGGCCAAAGCCAAGGACAGUGGGAAGCCAGAGGACUUGUCCUGCUGUUCCCCAGAAAAAGAGCCAGAGGAGGUAGGGACCUGCCCAAGGUGGGUCUCGUCUCUCAGGUCUCAAGGGGUAGCAUCUUAACUGGCCCCUGGAAGCGAUCCUGGUCUAAAAGCCCUGGUCUCUAGUCCCAAGACAGCUUCCCGCCUCCUCUGCCCACCUCCAACCCGCUUUCCUCUCCUUCCCAGCCCCCCUCCUGCCCCCUUGAGCCUAGCUGGAGGUGCAGAACGUCAAGCCUGGAAGAGGCUGAAGCAGUACGGUGCUCCGUCUCCACUUUGGGCAGAUAGCUUACUCUCUCCUGCCAUGCCCGGGAAGGCCACCCUUAACACUGACGGAUCCGAGAGUCCCCGUCCGUCCCUUCUGCGGAGGCGGAGCAGCCGGCCUGGUCUCAGUUCCUCGUGCUUUAUUCUGUCUUCUCGUCUCACUUUCUCCAGACAGCGGAGCCCCAGCCCACCGCCACCUCAACGUCGUCCCUGUUUUCUGGGAAGAGCCCCGUCACUACCUUGCUGGAGUGUAUGCACAAACUGGGCAACUCCUGUGAAUUCCGGCUCCUGUCCAAAGAAGGCCCUGCCCAUGACCCCAAGUACGUCCGGGGAGGGACGGUGUCUCCAAGAGGCUUUCUCAGAGACAGGCUCGUCUUCCUCUUCAGAGACGGCAGCUUAUUGUCUCUGAGCAGUUUCUUCUGCUGCAUGUGGAAGGGCCUUCAGGACCUGGUUGCUGCUUGGAAAGCAGAGAAGCUGGAAUCGGGAGUCCAGAGGGACCAAGGGCAAGGAGGGGUUGGUAGCGUGGGGGUCACUGUUGGUGGGACAGAAAGGUCCAGGGCCUUGGUGGGCCUGAGCAGCUCUCUGAGGGUCUGUGGACUCACAUAUCCGAGAGAAGGGCUCUGGAGGAGGGGAAAGUUUUGCAUGUUGAAAGUGGGGAGCCAGGCUGAGAGACCCGGGCAGCAGGUGGGCGAGGGGCAGCGGCUAUGCAAGGCAGAAGUGACUAUAGAAGGUGAUGUGCACAAGAAGUCGCAUGUAGUAGAGAACGUUAGCAAGUUGGGCCGGUCUCUGCAAUCACAACCUUCCUCCCUCUGGUCAGGUUCCAGUACUGUGUGGCGGUGGGAGCCCAAACCUUCCCUACCGUGAGUGCUCCCAGCAAGAAAGUGGCAAAGCAGAUGGCCGCAGAGGAGGCCAUGAAGGCCCUGCACGAGGAGGCCACCAACUCGGUUGAUGACCAGGUGGGCGUUUCUCCUGCUGAAACACCGUGGGGCGAUCUAGCAACGGAGCAGGUCAGGGUGGCCCACGUUUCUUUGAAUGUUCAUGGCUCCUUUUUGUUUGGCUGAUUCUCCUUUAGUCUGGAGGUGCCAACUCAGAAUCACUUGACAACCUGGACUCUGGGAUGCCCAACAGGAUCAGGAGGAUCGGUGAGCUCGUCAGAUACCUGAACACCAACCCCGUGGGCGGCUUGUUAGAGUACGCCCGCUCCCAUGGCUUUGCUGCUGAGUUCAAGUUGGUGGACCAGUCUGGACCCCCUCAUGAGCCCAAGUGAGUGUUCCAGACCCAGCUCCUGCUGGGUGUCAUCAGGUAGGGGUGGUGUGUCGUCCAGGGAAAGAAAGGAUGUGCGCCGCUGUGAAGGACAGGGAAGGCAGGUGAUGAAACAAGCCAACCCUCUCUCCACAGCCUCUUGGAUGAAGUUAGUCUUCCAUCUUGAGGAUACAGUGAGCAUUUUAUAUAUAUAUAUAUAUUUACUUUUAAAUAUAUAUUAAAUAUAUAUUAUAUAAAUAUAUAUUAAAUAUAUAUUAAAUAUAUAUUAUAUUUUAAAUAUAUAUAUAUAUAUAUUUACUUUUUUUAUUUCUGAAAGAAAAAAAAAAAAAUAUAUAUAUAUAUAUAUAUAUAAAAUCAUUCAAACUGACCAAAUAAGUCUAUAGCGAAAAGUCUUAUUUCUAUCCCAGACUUCUCUCCUAAGAUCCUCAUACUAUCAACUUGAAUUUCCUUCUGGAAAUUUCUAUGCAUAACUAGCACAGUUUCCUUUCUUUUUUUCUUUUUUUUUAAACAAGAAUAAGCAUAGAGCAUGCUUUCUGUUCAACACCUUGUGCCAGUGUGUCUCAGAUAGUGUCUCAGGUAAAUACAGAUCAGAAUAUACAGCUCUACCAAGGUCUCUUGCACAGCUGAAUGAUAUUUCAUUGACUAAAUACUUGCAAUUUUAAAAUUACUUAUUAAAUAAGAGAUAUGACAGACCUUUUCUAAAAUAGAUACUGAUGCACCACCACCUAGUUUAAGAAAAUAAAAUGUUGCUAGUACUUGGGAACACGCCACCCCAACUUGGCAUAAUUUGUUUAACCCACUUCCAGUGACAUUUAGGUUGCUUUGGUCACACUAUUAGAAACACUCCAGUUGAAUUUCCUCAUACUGUAUGCUUUUGCUUUCAUUAGCAAAACUGUCAGUAGUAAUUUUUUUUAAUAUUUAUUUUUUAGUUAUAGGUGGACACAAUAUCUUUAUUUUAUUUUUAUGUGGGGCUGAGGAUUGAACCCGGUGCCUCAUGCAUGGUAGGCGAGCGCUCUACCUCUGAGCCACAACCCCAGCCCCUAUCAGUAGUAAAUUUUUAGGAGUGAAAUUUUGGGGCCAUAAGCAAUAUGUUUUUUUAAGGUUUAAAAAUUUUUGUAUAGGUAAUAGACUACUCAAAAAUUUUUUUAAAAUUCAGAAAAAUAUAAGAAGUUCAUUCUCAGUCUCCCUUGGGCCUAGCUGUCAUCUCCUAUCCACAACCCCCAUCAACAUUUAAUGAUUUUGCAUUAUAAUAUGUCUCUCUUGAGUGUGUUUGUGUAAAUACAGGCAAGUGCAUCUCCCCUGUUGGUUUCAUAUAAGCAUUGAUCUAUAACUUGAUCUUAUACAACAAUAUAAUAGCAUUCUAUAACCCUGUAUUCUUUGAAUAAUGCUGCAAAGUGUAUUGUUAGAGUGCACGUGAUUUAGUUAACCAGCUCCUCUUGGAGAACACUUGGGUUGUUUCCAGAAUUCUGCUGUUAUGAACAAUAGUAUAGCCUGUUUAUGAGCAUUCGAAAUUUUAAUAUGUAAAUUUAUGUAAACGAGUGAUUUUCCUCCAAUGAGAUCACACCAUCUUAUGCUUUUACCAACAAUAUGUAAGAAUGGCUCUUCCCCAGCUCCACCCAGGCUAAUAUGAUAUAAUCAAAAUUGUUAUCUUUGGGGGGCUGGGGAUGUGGCUCAGGGGCAGAGCACUUGCCUAGCACCUGUGAGGCACUGAGUUCGAUCCUCAGCACCACACAAAAAUAAACAAAUAAACUAAGGCAUGCUGUCUAUCUACAACUAUAAAAAACAUUUUUUAAAAAUCUCAUCUUUGCCAUUCUAAAAUGGAAAAAAAAACAGUAUUUUGCUGUAUUGCAAAGAUUAAUCUGUUAGGAUAUUUAUUAUUACUAUUUACCAUAUUAAUGGAUCACAGGAGAGAAACCACAUAAUUAUCUCCAGAGAUUCUGAAAAGGCAUGUAUAAAACUCAGCAUCCAUUCAGAUUAACAAAACAAGCUGUCAGUAAAAUUAAAAUGAUUGAAUACCUCCUUACCAUGAUAAAAAAUACAUUUGAAGUCAAAAGCCAGCAGCUUAUUUAACGAUGAACCUAGAACUGUUCCCAUUGAAGUCAGGAGGGAGACAUAGUUGUCAGUGUCAUCAUUAUGAGGCAUUAUUCUGGAAUUCUAGCCAAUGCCAGUCAAGAGAAAGAAAUAGUGUACAUGCCAGGCGUGUGGUGCACACCUGUAAUCCCAGGGACUCAGGAGGCUGCACUGGGAUCCUCCUGUCUCAGUCUCCUGAGUCUCGGGAUACAGACGUGUGCCACCAUACCCAUGAUUGAUAGAACUCUUAAGCACGUACUGUUCAUGUACUCAGUACAACUUUAAGGCCAGCCUCAGCAACUUAACAAGUCCUAAGCAACUUAGUGAGACCCUAUCUCAAAAUAGCAAAAACUAAAAGAGCUGCAGAUAUAGCUGGUGGUAAAGCACCCCUGGGUUCAAUUCCAAGUACCAAAAACAAAGAAGAAAGAAAACCAAAUAUACAAAGAAGAAAGAGGUAGUUAGUUAAUCAUUAUUUGCAGAUGACUUGAUUGUAUACCUGGAAUAUUUACCUGAAAACCAAGGAAAUGCAUAGGCAGAGAAUUGAGAAAAGUCGGAAAUCGCAGUGAAAUGCGUAAGAAUCCAGAGCUUGCCUGUGGGCUGGGCUGUGGCUCAGUGGAGGAGCGCUCGCCUAGCACUGGGUUCCAUCCUCAGCACCACAUGAAAAAUAAAUAUAUAAACAAAUAAAAUGAUUUUUAAAAAGAGCUUAUCUGUAUGCAGGAAUAAGCAAUUGGGAAAUGCAGUGGAAGAAAUUACCCUAUUACAACAGCAACUAAAAAGAUGAACUACCAGGCUGGGGUAUAGCUCAGUUGGUAGAGUGCUUGCCUUGCACGCACAAGGCCCUGGGUUCAAUCCCCAGCACCACAGGAAAAAAAAAAAAAAAGAUAAACUACCUAGGCACAGUCCUAAUAGGAACUAUGUAGGAACAAUGUUAAGUAAAACGGUAAUCAAAGAUAUGAAGGAAGACUUGAUUAAAUGGGAGGAAGAAUCUGUUAUUAGACAGUAAAGGUUUUUGUGUUUUGGUUUUUUGUGGUCUGGGGAUCAACUGAGAACCUCACAUGUGCUAGGUAUAUAUUCUACCACUGAGCUACACCCCAGGCCAAGUAUUUUAAAGAUAGCAGCUGUCCCCAGAUUAAUCUUCACACUUAAUAUGGUCCCAAUAAAAAUAUCAACAGAAUUUAUUUUGGAAGUAGAAAACUUGAUUCUGAAUUUCAUAUGAAAAACAAAUACAUAAAAAUAGCUAGGAAAUUCAGAGAAAAAAGGACUGAUCCUACCAGAUUUUUUUUUUUAAGAAUUUAACCUUUAUUUUAUUUAUUUGUUUGUUUAUUUAUUUAUUUAUUUAAUAUUUAUUUUUUUAGUUUUUGGCAGACACAACAUCUUUGUUUGUAUGUGGUGCUGAGGAUCGAACCUGGGCUGCACGCAUGCCAGGCGAGCGCACUACCGCUUGAGCCACAUCCCCAGCCCCUACCAGAUUUUUUUACCUGCUGCCAAGGGUUGAACCCAGUGCCUCACCCGCAACAGGCAAGCGCUCUACAACCCCAGCCCCUACCAGAUUUUAAAACAGUGAUGUGAUGUACAUAGCUAGAAAGGUGCUUCCGGGGAUCAGACGGGAGCACCCAAAAGGUCGAAAACCAUAUGAAUGGUAUUUUUGUAUGUUGUAAACAUAAGGCUCCAAAUGAGUGGGGAAAUGGUGGUAGUGGGGCUGCCAGCUCUCCAUCCUGAAAACAAAACCAGAGCUGUUUGUCUGCCCCCUUCCCGACUCCCAGACCCCUACAGAUCCAAGGUUUAAAUGUAAAAUAAAUGAAAUCUGAUCACUAGAUAAAAGGAGGGAUAUUUCUAGAAUCUUCAAGCAGCAAAGCCUUUCCAAUCAAAGACACAAAACGUAAAGUCAUCAGGUAAAAAGCCCAGAAAUGUUAAUAGUAAGAAAAAAAUGGUGCGUAGUCAAAAGACCACCUGAGAAAAACACCACAGUGCCCAGCAGCCCGAGGCUAAUUUCUUUGAUACGUGAAGGGUUCUACAGAAAUCCCAAUGGAAAACCUUAGGAGAAAACUAAAGUAUUGGGCUGGGGAUGUGGCUCAAGCGGUAGCGCGCUCACCUGGCAUGCGUGCGGCCCGGGUUCGAUUCUCAGCACCACAUACAAACAAAGAUGUUGUGUCCGCCAAAUACUAAAAAAUAAAUGUUGAAAUUCUCUCUCUCUCUACCUCUCUCUCACUCUCUCUUUAUAAAAAAAAAAAAAAAAAAAAAAAACUAAAGUAUGUGAGCUGUACAUUCAUAGAAAAGGAAAUACAGUGAAUUGCCAGGUGGUGGCACACCUGUAGCCUGUAAUCCCAGCAGCUCAGGAGGCUGAGGCAGGAGGAUCACAGGUUCAAAGCCAGCCUCAGCAACUUAGUGAGGCCUUAACCAACUCAGUGAGACCCUGUCUCAAAAUAAAAAUGGCCGGGAAUACAUCUCGGUGGUAAAGUGCCCCGGGUUCAGUCCCUGGUACCAAAAGAAAAAGGAAAAGAAGUACAAUGAAUUGUCAGUAAACAGAAAGGUACACGACCUCAUUUUGUAAAUUAAAUUGACGCUUUGACAGCAUACCUACAAAACAGCGGUGCAGUUAGCCUGUGCAUUACAGCUGAGUGUGAGAACAGUGCCUCCAGCCCAGACACACAGUGCACGGCGUUUGUNACCCUCUCUCCACAGCCUCUUGGAUGAAGUUAGUCUUCCAUCUUGAGGAUACAGUUUCUCUUCAGUGACAGUGAGCAUUAUAUAUAUAUUUACUUUUUUUAUUUCUGAAAGAAAAAAAUAUAUAUAUAUAUAUAUAAAAUCAUUCAAACUGACCAAAUAAGUCUAUAGUGAAAAGUCUUAUUUCUAUCCCAGACUUCUCUCCUAAGAUCCUCAUACUAUCAACUUGAAUUUCCUUCUGGAAAUUUCUAUGCAUAACUAGCACAGUUUCCUUUCUUUUUUUCUUUUUUUUUAAACAAGAAUAAGCAUAGAGCAUGCUUUCUGUUCAACACCUUGUGCCAGUGUGUCUCAGAUAGUGUCUCAGGUAAAUACAGAUCAGAAUAUACAGCUCUACCAAGGUCUCUUGCACAGCUGAAUGAUAUUUCAUUGACUAAAUACUUGCAAUUUUAAAAUUACUUAUUAAAUAAGAGAUAUGACAGACCUUUUCUAAAAUAGAUACUGAUGCACCACCACCUAGUUUAAGAAAAUAAAAUGUUGCUAGUACUUGGGAACACACCACCCCAACUUGGCAUAAUUUGUUUAACCCACUUCCAGUGACAUUUAGGUUGCUUUGGUCACACUAUUAGAAACACUCCAGUUGAAUUUCCUCAUACUGUAUGCUUUUGCUUUCAUUAGCAAAACUGUCAGUAGUAAUUUUUUUAAUAUUUAUUUUUUAGUUAUAGGUGGACACAAUAUCUUUAUUUUAUUUUUAUGUGGGGCUGAGGAUUGAACCCGGUGCCUCAUGCAUGGUAGGCGAGCGCUCUACCUCUGAGCCACAACCCCAGCCCCUGUCAGUAGUAAAUUUUUAGGAGUGAAAUUUUGGGGCCAUAAACAAUAUGUUUUUUUAAGGUUUAAAAAUUUUUGUAUAGGUAAUAGACUACUCAAAAAUUUUUUUAAAAUUCAGAAAAAUAUAAGAAGUUCAUUCUCAGUCUCCCUUGGGCCUAGCUGUCAUCUCCUAUCCACAACCCCCAUCAACAUUUAAUGAUUUUGCAUUAUAAUAUGUCUCUCUUGAGUGUGUUUGUGUAAAUACAGGCAAGUGCAUCUCCCCUGUUGGUUUCAUAUAAGCAUUGAUCUAUAACUUGAUCUUAUACAACAAUAUAAUAGCAUUCUAUAACCCUGUAUUCUUUGAAUAAUGCUGCAAAGUGUAUUGUUAGAGUGCACGUGAUUUAGUUAACCAGCUCCUCUUGGAGAACACUUGGGUUGUUUCCAGAAUUCUGCUGUUAUGAACAAUAGUAUAGCCUGUUUAUGAGCAUUCGAAAUUUUAAUAUGUAAAUUUAUGUAAACGAGUGAUUUUCCUCCAGUGAGAUCACACCAUCUUAUGCUUUUACCAACAAUAUGUAAGAAUGGCUCUUCCCCAGCUCCACCCAGGCUAAUAUGAUAUAAUCAAAAUUGUUAUCUUUGGGGGGCUGGGGAUGUGGCUCAGGGGCAGAGCACUUGCCUAGCACCUGUGAGGCACUGAGUUCGAUCCUCAGCACCACACAAAAAUAAACAAAUAAACUAAGGCAUGCUGUCUAUCUACAACUAUAAAAAACAUUUUUUAAAAAUCUCAUCUUUGCCAUUCUAAAAUGGAAAAAAAAACAGUAUUUUGCUGUAUUGCAAAGAUUAAUCUGUUAGGAUAUUUAUUAUUACUAUUUACCAUAUUAAUGGAUCACAGGAGAGAAACCACAUAAUUAUCUCCAGAGAUUCUGAAAAGGCAUGUAUAAAACUCAGCAUCCAUUCAGAUUAACAAAACAAGCUGUCAGUAAAAUUAAAAUGAUUGAAUACCUCCUUACCAUGAUAAAAAAUACAUUUGAAGUCAAAAGCCAGCAGCUUAUUUAACGAUGAACCUAGAACUGUUCCCAUUGAAGUCAGGAGGGAGACAUAGUUGUCAGUGUCAUCAUUAUGAGGCAUUAUUCUGGAAUUCUAGCCAAUGCCAGUCAAGAGAAAGAAAUAGUGUACAUGCCAGGCGUGUGGUGCACACCUGUAAUCCCAGGGACUCAGGAGGCUGCACUGGGAUCCUCCUGUCUCAGUCUCCUGAGUCUCGGGAUACAGACGUGUGCCACCAUACCCAUGAUUGAUAGAACUCUUAAGCACGUACUGUUCAUGUACUCAGUACAACUUUAAGGCCAGCCUCAGCAACUUAACAAGUCCUAAGCAACUUAGUGAGACCCUAUCUCAAAAUAGCAAAAACUAAAAGAGCUGCAGAUAUAGCUGGUGGUAAAGCACCCCUGGGUUCAAUUCCAAGUACCAAAAACAAAGAAGAAAGAAAACCAAAUAUACAAAGAAGAAAGAGGUAGUUAGUUAAUCAUUAUUUGCAGAUGACUUGAUUGUAUACCUGGAAUAUUUACCUGAAAACCAAGGAAAUGCAUAGGCAGAGAAUUGAGAAAAGUCGGAAAUCGCAGUGAAAUGCGUAAGAAUCCAGAGCUUGCCUGUGGGCUGGGCUGUGGCUCAGUGGAGGAGCGCUCGCCUAGCACUGGGUUCCAUCCUCAGCACCACAUGAAAAAUAAAUAUAUAAACAAAUAAAAUGAUUUUUAAAAAGAGCUUAUCUGUAUGCAGGAAUAAGCAAUUGGGAAAUGCAGUGGAAGAAAUUACCCUAUUACAACAGCAGCUAAAAAGAUGAACUACCAGGCUGGGGUAUAGCUCAGUUGGUAGAGUGCUUGCCUUGCACACACAAGGCCCUGGGUUCAAUCCCCAGCACCACAGGAAAAAAAAAAAAAGAUAAACUACCUAGGCACAGUCCUAAUAGGAACUAUGUAGGAACAAUGUUAAGUAAAACGGUAAUCAAAGAUAUGAAGGAAGACUUGAUUAAAUGGGAGGAAGAAUCUGUUAUUAGACAGUAAAGGUUUUUGUGUUUUGGUUUUUUGUGGUCUGGGGAUCAACUGAGAACCUCACAUGUGCUAGGUAUAUAUUCUACCACUGAGCUACACCCCAGGCCAAGUAUUUUAAAGAUAGCAGCUGUCCCCAGAUUAAUCUUCACACUUAAUAUGGUCCCAAUAAAAAUAUCAACAGAAUUUAUUUUGGAAGUAGAAAACUUGAUUCUGAAUUUCAUAUGAAAAACAAAUACAUAAAAAUAGCUAGGAAAUUCAGAGAAAAAAGGACUGAUCCUACCAGAUUUUUUUUUUUAAGAAUUUAACCUUUAUUUUAUUUAUUUGUUUGUUUAUUUAUUUAUUUAUUUAAUAUUUAUUUUUUUAGUUUUUGGCAGACACAACAUCUUUGUUUGUAUGUGGUGCUGAGGAUCGAACCUGGGCUGCACGCAUGCCAGGCGAGCGCACUACCGCUUGAGCCACAUCCCCAGCCCCUACCAGAUUUUUUUACCUGCUGCCAAGGGUUGAACCCAGUGCCUCACCCGCAACAGGCAAGCGCUCUACAACCCCAGCCCCUACCAGAUUUUAAAACAGUGAUGUGAUGUACAUAGCUAGAAAGGUGCUUCCGGGGAUCAGACGGGAGCACCCAAAAGGUCGAAAACCAUAUGAAUGGUAUUUUUGUAUGUUGUAAACAUAAGGCUCCAAAUGAGUGGGGAAAUGGUGGUAGUGGGGCUGCCAGCUCUCCAUCCUGAAAACAAAACCAGAGCUGUUUGUCUGCCCCCUUCCCGACUCCCAGACCCCUACAGAUCCAAGGUUUAAAUGUAAAAUAAAUGAAAUCUGAUCACUAGAUAAAAGGAGGGAUAUUUCUAGAAUCUUCAAGCAGCAAAGCCUUUCCAAUCAAAGACACAAAACAUAAAGUCAUCAGGUAAAAAGCCCAGAAAUGUUAAUAGUAAGAAAAAAAUGGUGCGUAGUCAAAAGACCACCUGAGAAAAACACCACAGUGCCCAGCAGCCCGAGGCUAAUUUCUUUGAUACGUGAAGGGUUCUACAGAAAUCCCAAUGGAAAACCUUAGGAGAAAACUAAAGUAUGUGAGCUGUACAUUCAUAGAAAAGGAAAUACAGUGAAUUGCCAGGUGGUGGCACACCUGUAGCCUGUAAUCCCAGCAGCUCAGGAGGCUGAGGCAGGAGGAUCACAGGUUCAAAGCCAGCCUCAGCAACUUAGUGAGGCCUUAACCAACUCAGUGAGACCCUGUCUCAAAAUAAAAAGGGCCGGGAAUACGUCUCGGUGGUAAAGUGCCCCAGGUUCAGUCCCUGGUACCAAAAGAAAAAGGAAAAGAAGUACAAUGAAUUGUCAGUAAACAGAAAGGUACACGACCUCAUUUUGUAAAUUAAAUUGACGCUUUGACAGCAUACCUACAAAACAGCGGUGCAGUUAGCCUGUGCAUUACAGCUGAGUGUGAGAACAGUGCCUCCAGCCCAGACACACAGUGCACGGCGUUUGUGCAGAGGUCUUCAUGCAGCAUUGUUCACAGCAGCAAGAGGCUGGACGUGGUCUCAAGCACCAUCAUUUGCACACUGGUUAAGUCAGCCGUGGUGCAUCUCCACUAAAGAGUACUAAACAACCUUGUAAAGCACAGCGUGUCUGUGUGAGACCAUCUCUGAAACCUGUGCGCAGAGGGGAAGGCACUGUGGAUGGCAGGGGAGAGACAUAGUGUGUGUGUGUGUGUGUGUGUGUGUGUGUACACGCGCAGAGUAUUUUCUGGAAGGAUUACGACAGUCUGGUAGCUGGUAAUGCACUGCAUCUGGGGAAGGAAGGACACAUUUCAUUGUAUUCUCUGAGUGGUUGGAAUUUUUACUGGUGUGGUAUCUAACUUUUCAAAUAAAAAAAAAGCCAUUGGGCUGAGGUUGUAGCUCAAUAGUAGAGAGAGCUCUCCCUUGCACACGUGAGGCCCUGGGUUGGAUCCUCAGCACCACAGAAAAAUAAGUAAAUAAAGUAAAGGUAUUGUGUCCACCUCCAAUGAAAAAUAAAUAUGUUAAAAACAUCAAGGAGAAAAGCUCAUGAAAAUGGCACCUUGUUAUACAUUUUGUUUUUAGAGUAACAACAUUCAUUUAUUAGUGUUUACAUGUGAUUUGCAUUUACUUUUAUGUGAAAUACCUUUUCUGUCCUUAUCCAGUUUUCUUUUGGAUCAUUACUCUUCAUUAGCAAGUUAGAGCUUUUAACAUAAUAAGAAACCUUAACCCUUGACCAGCGUAACCCAACAGAGCCCUCAGGCUAGGAGGGCAGCAACGGCUCUCCACUGCCCCCUUGUGGCAGGAUGCAUUGCCCACUGGGCAAUGAACCUUCUGGAAGGGAAGAUCAGCCUCCCUCCUGCUCUUUACUGGUUCAUAUCCUUCAGUCUGAAUAAACCCCCAGAGCCUCCCACCCCACUUCUGGGGAUUGAACCCAGGGGCACUCUACCACUGAGCCACAUCCCCAGCACUGUUUAUUUUUUUAUUUUGAGACAAGGUCUCACUGAAUUGCUGAGGCUGGCCUCAAACUUGUGAUCUUCUGCCUCAGCCUCUUGAGUCACUAGAAUUAUAGUGUACAGCACCAUGCCCAGCAGAACUCAUUUCCUUUAAAUUCAUUCCUUUAAUUUCUUUAUGUAAUAGGUUCAGUGUUUUUCCUUCUUUUUUUUUCCCCUCAACCACUGAGCCACAUCCCUAGCCCUUUAUUAUUAUUAUUAUUAUUAUUAUUAUUAUUAUUAUUAUUAUUAUUAUUAUUUUCUUAUUUAGAGACAGGGUCUCACUGAGUUGCUCAGGGCCUCCCUAAGUUUCUGAGGCUGGCUUUGCACUUGUGAUCCUCCUGCCUCAGCCUCCUGAGACACUGGGAUUACAUGCAUGCACUACCGUGCCCUGCUUUUCCUCUUUAUCUUCUAUGAAAUCCUUUCUGAAACUCCGUGGCUCAUUCAUUCAAAACACAAGGACUUAUUAUCAACUAAAUUGAGAAUGUGAAGAAUUGCUGCCCCAAGUGUGCAGGAUGUGUGACCGUAACACAGAGUUGGAAUGUGCCGUAUGGAGGGACAUGCAGUGUGCCAUGGGGACACAGGAUAUUGCUGCCAGCUCCUCCUGGGAAAUCAAGGCAGGUGGCUUAUAGGACAGGAAACGCUAAUGUAGUAGCCACGUUUUCUCAGCGUCUCAUGCAGUAAUAUACUUUGCUUCCUUCUCAUAUGAAUUGAGCUGGGUCCUCCGUUUCCUUUCUCUCUUGAUGACCUCAGCCAGCUGCUCGUAUCUAAAUGCCAUAGAGCACUACACACACACCUCUAGCCCAGACCUUCUCACACCCCAGAUUCCUCCAUCCAGCUGUUCACGUGUCCCUUCGACUUGGAUUGGCCUCCCCGACAUGACAUGUUCAAAGCACAGAUCUUGAUUUUUGCUUUCUUAACCUCCUUCCCUCCAGCCUUUCCCAUCUUACUAAAUAUCAGGUGUUUCCCGUCUUAGUGAAUAUCAAUCCAGCUGUUCAAGCCAAAAACCCAAGGAUCACCUUUUCCUCUGUGCCCUUCACCUCCUUCAACCAAAUUAUCCUUUGACUUCUAUCCCAAGUCUCCUGCUCUUCUUCCUACCUCUAGUGUAGCAUUCUCUCACCUGGAUCACAUCUGGUCUCUCUGCGGUAUUCACUCAACACAUACCUACAGAGGUCCUUCUGCUAGAAUAGGAGCCAGAUGGUGACCAGCAGUCACCUAAGUAGAAGUAUGAGAUCUUGUGUCUCCUAGGGGUCACAGAGAGCUGGAGUUCAGAGGGCAGUGAGGAUCUGUGGAGGUAGGACUAGAUUUAGGGAGCGGGAUGGCCCCCAAAGAAAUGAUCCCUGAGCUGAGACCCUAAGGGUAACCCAGAAGAAGGUUCUAGGCAAAGGCUACGGUACAGUUGGCUUUCCGUAUCCACAGGUUCUGCACGCGUCUGUUCAACCAAGUGUGGAAUGAAAUGUUUUUAAAUCUGCUGAUUAUGUAAUUCGAGUCUGUCUCUGUACUAACCACAGCCAGACUUCCACUUCCUGCCGCCCUCCCUGCACCGGGCAGUGUAGCACCUGCUCCCACAGCGCUUACACUGUGUCAGCUGGGGUAGGUGACCUGGGAGGACACCCAGGGACUUGAGCAGCCUCAGAUCUCGGUUCUGCAGAGGUCCUGGGGCAGUGCCCCGUGGACACUGGAGGUGGCUGUCCUCAGCCGUCCUGUGGUAGGAGGAGACAGGGGGGAGGCCCGUGUGGACGAGGACAGAGGCCCUCUGAGGCCCCUAGGGCUGGCCUUGAGGUCAGUGCCCUUACCACAGGAGCCCUGGAGGGCCACUGCAGGUCUCGAGGGUCACUUUUUCUGUCCCACACUUUGGCCUGCUUUCCCAGCUUUUGUCUACCAGAUUUCCUGUCCCACUCUGAGAGGACCACUUGGGACCUUUGCCUCUGAUUCCCACCAACACCCCGGUCCUCGCUCUGAACUGAUACUCUUACAUCCCACGUCAGGAAACCACGGUCGUCAUGUAAGAGAGGCCGGUCUUAAUCCCCUGACCUCCCUCCCUCCUCCGAACCUCACUCUACCCCUAGGCACAAGGGAAGCGCCUUCCGCCUCCCCUUGAGUCCUGCGUGCCCUCCCUCUUGUCUGUUCUGGGGCUUCCUGCUUCUCCCCUCGUCAUCGGUGGUCCUUGCCAUCAGCCUGGAAACACGGCCGACCUGUGGACACCUUCCCUUGACCUGGGUCUCCCUCCAGGAACACCCUGGGUCUCCGCUCCUUCACAGCCAAGCCUCUCAGGACAGUCACCCAUGCUAAAAAGGCUGACCACCAGCCACAUGAGGUUAUUGAGCACUUAAAUGUGCCAGCUUGAUCAAGGGACUGAAUUAUUAUAUUUAAUUUUGAUUAAUAGCCUCGUGUGGCUACCAUAGUGGAUAGCCAAUUCCAAAGGAUUCAAAUUACAUAAUUAACAAACUCAGUCAUUCUCAUAUGUGUGCGUGCGCAUAAUACAUGUACAUAUAUGUAUAUAUACACGUGUGCAUGUAUGUAUGCAGGUGUCACACAUAUAAAACUGUGUCUAAGAGUUCGUAUUUUUAGAAGUAGUUGGACACAAUACCUUUAUUUUAUUAAUUUAUUUUUAUGUGGUGCUGAGGAUCGAACCCAGUGCCUCACACAUGCUAGGCAAGUGCUCUACCACCGAUCCACAGCCCCAGCCCGAGUUCAUAUUCUUUUCAAAGGCAGAACAGUCAUGAGAUCCUCCUGGACCCCUGGCAGUUCGUUCCCUACUCCCCAACCUCUCUUCAUGCCUCAGUCUCUCUCAUUCUGAACUUGGCCCGCCGGCCAGGAGGGACCAGCUGCUUAGGACAACCAAAGAAGAGUGGGACUCUCCGUGUGCUUGGACAUGGAGACCAGUUUCUUCUACAGCUGGAGCCGAUGCAUCCAGAACCGCAGCCUCUGUGCUGCCCAGUUCUGUUUCCAAGCGGUGGAUUCAGAUCUGGUUGAAAGCUGGGGUCUUGACACUUGUCUGCUGGGUUUCCCGGCUGCUCUGCUCUGUCAUGCCCUCCCUCUGGGAUUGCAGAAAUCCCCAGGAAGGGUGGGGGCCACUGCCUGCUGGGCUCGUGCCUCCUCUAUCAUCGGAGCCCAGGGCCCAGCCCAGGUCCACGUCCCUGCCCCACUGUUCAUCUUGGGCCCAGCAGAAAUCCACAGAUGACUCCCCAAGAAAGCUUGGCUCCCCAGCCUAAUGCUGUGCUUGUGGAUAUGCUCUCUCCAGGCUGACCCUUGUGAGGUGGUCAGGAACGGAGGGGACACUGGGAUUGGGUACUUUAAAAUCAGACAGUGUUAAGUAAGUGAUUCAAGUGGGGAGAGAGAUCUUGGCUUCUCAUUUCUGCUUAAGAAGAAAGUCUAAAUUCCGUGUUAGUAGUUCUUUAAACCCUCUUAUUACUCCCUAAUCUUCCUUUCUAGUAAAGGCAGGCUGGCUGGAGUCUUUGCAGAUAAUAGUACAGUAUCUAGUCGGAAUUAGUCUUAUGAUUUUAUCACAUUCGGCUUUAUAGCCACCUUCAAUUUAUGGCAAAUGGCACCGGUGUUCCCUUUGAGCACUGUGAAAUUUCCUUUUUAAGUGUGUCGAGCACAAUGGCACACGUAAUCCCAUCCACUCAGGAGGCUGAGGCGAAAGGAUCACAAGUUCAAAGCCAGCCUGGGCAGCUUAGCUGAAAGUAAAAAGUUGAAGAGUCUAGGAUAUAGCUCAGUGGUGGAGUGGCCCUGGGUUCGAUCCCCAGUACCACCAGCACCCCCCCCCAACAACAACAAAAAAAAAAGUAUGUGUAUUUUUUUUUAAUAUUUAUUUUUUAGGUGCAGAUCGACACAACACAAUGCCUUUAUUUUUUAAUGUGGUGCUGAGGCUCGAACCCAGGUCCCGCCCGUGCUAGGCGAGUGCUGUAUCGCUGAGCCACAGUCGCAGCCCCUAAAAGUUAACAUCUUUAUAUAUAUAUAAACAAUGUGUGUGCAUUUUUAAAGAAUCAGUGUAGAGAAAACACUCAUGGUCCUCCACGGGACAUCUGGAGCUAGCAAAAGUCAUGUUGCGAUUCAUGAAUGACCAAACUCCGGGAAAUGCUGCCUUAGUAACAUCUGUCAGAAUGGACGGGUCCGGAUGUCUGCUAGGCGGGCCACGCUGAAAGCCAGCCCAGCCCUUUCUGCAACAGCGUCCAAGUCUUGGUUUGUCUGUGUCCCGCUUCUCGCUUCUCGUCCCAAAGGUUCAUUUACCAAGCGAAAGUCGGGGGCCGCUGGUUUCCAGCCGUCUGCGCGCACAGCAAGAAGCAAGGCAAGCAGGAAGCAGCCGAUGCGGCCCUCCGCGUCCUGAUUGGGGAGAGCGAGAAGGCAGAGCGCAUGGGUUUCACAGAGGUAACCCCAGUGACAGGGGCCAGUCUCAGAAGAACUAUGCUCCUCCUCUCCAGGUCCCCAGAAGCGCAGCCAAAGACAGUUAAGACGUCUACUUUUGGUGCUAUCUUUUUGUUUUGGGGGUGGAGCUGGCUUGUCACUAGCUGUCAUGUGAAUUGUCCCUUGGCUAUGCUACUAGCCUCAAUAGAGCAUAUAACUGGGACACUAGAUGUGAAAGGGGAAAGAAAGGUGGUGCACGAGUCCAUUAGCACGUGACCCCCUGCCCACUGUGAAGCAUGGUGGACGCGGGCGUGGCUGCAUGACCCUCACAGCCCCCUGUCCCCACAGCUUCCUCUCACUGGCAGUACCUUCCACGACCAGAUAGCGAUGCUGAGCCACCGGUGCUUCAACACCCUCACAAACAGUUUCCAGCCCUCCCUGCUCGGCCGCAAAAUCCUAGCCGCCAUCAUUAUGAAGAAAGACCCUGAGGACAUGGGUGUCGUGGUCAGCUUGGGGACAGGUGAGAGAGGGUCUCCCCAGCCACCAGCCUCUCAGUGACUGGAAGCAGGUCUUCCUCACCCUCCCCUGAGUCCAUGUGAGCAAGUCCAAGCCCGGGGACCAGGCCGCGCGUCCCCUUGUCCUGACAUGGAUCUUAAAAAGCUCUGGAUUUUGGCCAGGUGCCAGGGUGCCUUUAAUGCCACCCACUCAGGAGGCUGCGGCAGGGUGAUGGAGAAUUCAGAGCCAGCUCAGCAACUGAGCAAGACCUAAGCAACAGCAAGACCCUGCCUCUCAAAAAAUACUGCCGAGGGCUGGGCAUGUGGCUCAGGGGCUAAGUGCCCACGGGUUCAAUCCCCAGUACACCCCCUCAAAAAAAAGCUUUGCAUUUUGGAACACUUCAGAUUUCCACAUUAGGGAUGCUCAACUAGCAGACUCCAUGCAAAUAUUCCAAAAUCUGAACAACUCCAGACUCUGAAACACUGUGGUCCUGAGCACUUGGGUAAAGGACACUCACCUGCGUGUCAUUUAGCUGCAGUCAGCUCAGGGUGGGGGUGGACUCCUUCUCCCUAGGUAAGAGGAUGACUGUCCAGGCUGUUCUCCGCGAGCCUGAAGACAGACUGCCCCACCCACUUCACCCUCCUUCUCCUUUGACUUUUCCCUUUUUCUCCCAAUCCUUCAGGGAAUCGCUGUGUCAAAGGAGACUCCCUCAGCCUCAAGGGAGAGACCGUCAACGACUGUCAUGCGGAGAUCAUCUCCCGAAGAGGCUUCAUCAGGUGAGCGAGCACCUGCCGGGGCUGCCCCCGCCCACCUGGGCACAGUGGCUCCGGCACAGGCCUUCCUGACACCCCGGCAGACGGCAGGUCCCUGAGCCAGCAGUGGUGGCCUUCGGGUUUAUCCUGUGAUCUGAGCCCUCGUAGAGCCAGUCCCCUCUGUGACCCUCUGCCUCCCACCCCCAGCCUGGUCCUAAGACCUUUUUUCUGCCAACUCUGCUGUCUUCUGUUUCUCAAAACAAAGUGACCCUGGGUCCUCGGGCCUUGGGGAUGAGGCGGCCUCCAUCUCCAUUUGAGGACCCAUCAGCACCUCGUGUCGCCGCGGCUUCUCCUCUGGUUCACCUUUUCUCUAAUUUGUGAAGGGAGCGGGGAAGAGGCAGCUGCCUCCCGAAGCCUUGAGCCAGUUCCUUCUGCCUGGAGUCCCUGCAGCCGCCACAGCAAGGGGCCUUUGGCGGAAAUGAAACGGACCGAAAGGCUCACUGUGCUUUAUGAAAUGCUGAGGUCUCUCUGGGAAGCUUCCCCACCUGAGAAGCUAGAAGAGCUGCACCAGGAAACUUGUCCCCACUUGGGGCUCAGAUAGGGGUCAGCUCCAAGCACCAUCUGCUCUCGCCAGAAUCCAGCCUGCCGUCCUAACUGCACGUCUUUUACAGGUUCCUUUACAGUGAGUUAAUGAAAUACAACCCCCAGACUGCGAAGGACAGUAUAUUUGAGCUUGCCAGGGGAGGAGAGAAGCUCCAGAUAAAAAAGACUGUUUCGUUCCACCUGUACAUCAGGUCUGUACCCUGCCGGGCUCCCAGGAUGGGCUUCCACCUGCUCUGCCGGCCCCUAAAUCUGACCCCACGCAACAGGCCACACGCUCCACUGAGGUACCAUGAGGUACAUUCCCCAGUGGAGGAUGACUGUCCUAGACACAGCUGCCCCCUCCAGCAUCCCCUGGUGGGCUCCAGGAAACAUCCCAGCUCCAGCCGCAGCAGACUAGGGACCCCGAGAAGUUGGAGUUCCCUCCUGCGCAGGUGAGUGACGGACACCCCUGUGUUGCAGCACUGCCCCGUGUGGAGACGGCGCCCUCUUCGACAAGUCCUGCAGUGACCGCGCCCUGGAAAGCACAGAUUCCCGCCACUACCCUGUCUUUGAGAAUCCCAAACAAGGCAAGCUGCGCACCAAGGUGGAGAAUGGUGAGUGCCACACAGGCUCUGCGAGACCCCCGUGUGCGCCACUCGUCACGGGGGAGGACUGUAGGGAGGGGAAGUUCCAUUCUGAAUCUGUUAGCUCAGGUGAUGAGAGCCUGGGGGGGAAGAAAGGACAGAGCGUGUCCUCCUGGGGUCUCCACGGCCGGCACAGGCAGAGUGCGGGGGGAGGGCGGCGGAAGUGAAAAGUCAGGCCCUCCGUCUGGUGGCCUCGGACCUGGCCUCCUGCCCCCUCGCGCCUUCCUGCCUGUCCCCCAGCAUCUCCUUCUCCUCCGGUCACCCCUGCUCCCUUCAUGCUUCAGCAGUCGUCUGCGUCACUGUCAAGCCCAAGUCAGGUCACGUCAGUUCCCUGCUGGCCACCCUGAAGUCUGGACAGCACCACGUGGCCCAGCAGUCCUCCUGGGCUAUCCCCAGGAGAAGUGAAAGCCCAGGUCCACACAGAGCUAGUUCGGGCGCCUUCACAGCAGCCGGGCAGGGGACACGGCCAGCGCCCUCCCCUCCAUGACAGAAAAGUAAAACCGCCACAUCCAUGCGAGGGACUGUCCUUGGCCAUGACAUGAAGUAAGCAUUGACCCAGCUACAGUGAGGUCACCCUGAAAACGUCAUGCUAAGCGCAAAAAGCCCCAAAAGAUCACGUGGUGUGACUCCAUUUCUAUGAAAUAUCCAGAAUAAAUGAGUUCUACAGACAGGAAGUGCCUGAGAGGCUGCCCGGAUGAGGGACGGAGGGAGGUGGGAGUGAGAGCCAGCCGAGGUCGGGUUGGGGUUGAUCGUGCCGAUGUAUAAUCCCAUGGUGCAUAACCUCAGAAACGCCAAAAACCACUGAACAGCUUGCUUUCAAUGGCGAGUUGUAGUAUACGACUUGUAUCUCAGUAAAGCUGGUAUUUUUUAAAAAAACGCAAGCACCAUGUAGGGUCUCCCACUGCCCUUGAUACGAAGGCAACCUGAGCCAGGCACAGUGGCCCAGGCCUGCAAUCCCAGCAGCUCCGGAGGCUGAGGCAGGAGGAUCACGAGUUCAAAGCCAGCCUUAGCGAGGCCCAGAGCAACUCAGCAAGACCCUGUCUGUACUGAAAGCCCACCUCCCGGCCUCAGCCUGCCCAGUCUUCUCUUUGGUGAUUCUCUGGUGCCCCCGAAACACCGAAACCCUCGCUGCCUCAGGCCGUGGCUUCUGCCGCUCGCUCCCUGUCUGAAUGGGUUAGGACUCUUCUCCCUCCAGCUGCUCCCUGCCUCCUCCACCCAGGAGCUCGCGGUGCCGUCCCCCCGGCUCUCCCACAGGCCUUCCCCACGCUGUCAGCAUCUGGAGUUCCCACCUGCUCACUGGUGCAUCUGCUUAGUGCUCUCCUUUCCCUUUCUGUCCCUCACCCCUGAACACCGCGGGACAGCACGGACCUCACUGAGGUCUGCUCCCCAGUGUUUCCCAGCUCCCAGCACAGUGACCGCCGUGUCCUCCAGGACUGUGAGCCACAUGGAGAAUGAAGGGCCGAGCUGCCGGUGGCCCGGCCUCAGGAGCUCAAGUCCCGCGCUAGGGGUGGUUUGGUGGCCUCUGUGGAUCUGACCCGAGUCUCUCACACAGGGGAAGGCACCAUCCCUGUGGAGUCCAGUGACAUUGUGCCUACGUGGGAUGGCAUCCGGCUUGGGGAGAGACUCCGCACCAUGUCCUGUAGUGACAAAAUCCUACGCUGGAACGUGCUGGGCCUGCAAGGGGCACUGCUGACCCACUUCCUACACCCUGUGUAUCUCAAAUCUGUCACACUGGGUAAGGGACCUGCCUUGGGAGUUGGAACCCACCUGUCCUUCUCCACCCCAGUCCCAGAAAACUUCAUGCUUCAGUCAACCCACUUUCCACAGUGAGCUCAGCCCCGUCGUCAGCAGGGGGUGCCGGCCUGCACAGGCCGGAGGGUGGCCAGGAGGCCGAGGAGGGGGGCCAGGCCAGUCUCCAAGACGGGUCGGAGAAACGCGGCAGAUGGCAGCAGCAGCAUCUGGUUUUCCUUGUUCUCCUCAGUCCUUGGCCUUACCCGAAACAUUCCGUUUUGUGCUUCAAUAUUUGAUGAUCCUGUGUGUCCUGUGCUGCCACAGUUAGAGGCCCUGCCUGUCAGGGGCUCUCUGUCCUGACAAUUCUGCCUUAUACCUUCCAGCCCCCGGGGGCCUCAGCUUCUCCAUAGCUUUGGUGAACACAGAUGUAUGGGUUUUUGUUUCUGUUUUUACUUUCUUUUUUAUACCCAGGGUACCUUUUCAGCCAAGGACAUCUGACCCGGGCUAUCUGCUGUCGUGUGACAAGAGACGGGAGUGCGUUUGAGGCUGGAUUACGAUACCCCUUUGUUGUCAACCACCCGAAGGUCUGUGCCCCUGUCCUGUUCCCCUUUUCAAGCAUUCCCAUCAGCAGAGCAGAAAUAUGGUCAAGGGAGCCAUGGUUGGUGUCCUCUGGAGGCCAAGGGCUUUCCUCCUCUAGCCUGACACGAUCUGAAUCGAGGUGGAGAGUACUUCUAGAGUGUGCUCCGGUGUAACCAAGCCAUGUUAAAUCAAGGGGGAGACGGUGGCCCACCUCCCUCUUCCCCAUGAUUCGGGAGUCCCUGCUCCCAGAACUUAGCCCUGAAUGGUGUCCACCUCUCUCUCUUCACUCCUGGGACUCCCAGGUGGGCCGAGUCAGUGUGUAUGACUCCAAGAGGCAAUCCGGGAAGACUAAGGAGACGAGCGUCAACUGGUGUUUGGCUGACGGCUUCGACCUGGAGAUCCUGGAUGGUACCAGGGGCACCGUGGACGGGUAAGGAAGGGGGAGGGUGCAGGGCAAGCAGGAUCCUCUCCAGAGCUAGGGCCACGUCCCACCACGGGUGUCCCCAGUGGCUCCCACUCCCCUGUCCCAGGUGAAUAACCAGUGCCUUUGUUUCCCCAGGCCACGAAAUGAAUUGUCGCGGGUAUCGAAAAAGAACAUUUUUCUUCUGUUUAAGAAGCUCUGCUCCUUCCGGUACCGCAGGGACUUACUGAAACUCUCCUACGGUGAGGCCAAGAAAGCCGCCCGCGACUAUGAGAUAAACAAGAACUACUUCAAAAAGAGCCUCAAGGACAUGGGUUACGGAAACUGGAUAAGCAAACCCCAGGAGGAGAAGAACUUCUAUCUCUGCCCCGUACCCAACGACUGAGGCUGGGGGUUGGCGGGGAGGGGGGGGGUCCUGGCAUUCCUCAUCACAUUGGCCUAGGGUGGGGGGGGGUUAACCCCCACCUUUUUUUUUUUAAUGGAACCAUAAUUAGAGAUACUGAGAACUUUGGGUUCCCUUUAUCCUGCUUUCUUUGGGGUUUCUAGGCAGAAUCUGGCCAGGCCCCUUCUCUUACUUCAAGUGAGAGGCAGAGACCUACAGGCAGAGAAAGGGGUUGACCUUUCCACCCAGAGCAUAAGCAGUCACCCAGCCCCUGUGGCCCAUCUCCUCCUGAGCUUUGUUUUCCCGUUUCCUUUUUGUGGGUGUGUUUCUACACUGACCUCUCGUGGACUUGAUCAGGUUCCAGUCAGUUCUCUGUGAACCGUGUCAGGGACCAAGGAUCUCGUUUAUGGAUCCCACAGGCCCCUCUAUUUCCCACCCCCGGCUUCUGAGAUUCUUACCUGUGAUCACUGAGUCUCUCCUCCCACCCUGGAGGGUAAAGAGGUGGACUUCAGGAAUUAGGUGAAAUAUUUACAAGGGUAGGAACUGAAGACUACGGCGGAUUAACUACCAGUGCCAAUGGAAGUGGGACUGGAAUCUGCGAACCCUGCUCAGCAGUGGGAACCUGCACUGUGUCCAGGAAAAAGCCGCUGCUGGCGAAGCGCAUCCCUUCCCGGGGCAGCAGGAAGUUGAGAACCAGCAGACGGGCUAGGAAGUUACCCACGCCGUAGGCGGUCCCCCCUGCAGAGUGACACAGACCACUACCAGGGGCACAGACAGACGUUCCUUGGGCUAUUGCCAAGCUCCCAUCUGCCCAUAAGCCCAUAGACCCCAGUAAACUAGUGUGAAAAACUUCAGGACAAUUCUUAGAGGGUAAAUCGUCUGCUCAGAUAGUUAGGACUUAGCAAGAAUAGGGCAGAAAUCAUGUUGGGACAAAUCGUUGUUCUGUGCAGUUCAAUAUUUCUCAGCACUGAUCCAAGGAAAGUUGACUAAACCCAGUAGAAUUAGGGCUCUUUUAAAGAAUGCCAGAGACGUUGGUUCUCAACCGCAGUCGCACAGAUUUAAAAUGCAGAUGGCCUUUUCCAUCCAUCCCAGGGCCUCAUCGUGUCAGAUGGCUCUGGGACUGGCAGAUGAUUUCCCACACUCCUGCCUCCCACCCGCAAACUGCUUCCCCACCUGGUCUGGCCCACCUCUUCAGUAGUGGAUAUGUCUGUGUUUGCACUUUGAUCUCUCUGGCUACUUUCUGUACCUGUGACCAAAAACUGAAUGAAAUAAUAAUGCAGGUUUUAAAAAAGACACUAAGGAUGUCUUUGUGGGACACUGAAGCAUCCCAAGGGAACUGGUGGGGAAAUGGGGCCUGUCUCUGGGGGAGAAGGGGCCGGGGCUUUGUGAGUAUUGCCAAGCUUGGGGUAUUAGCUGAAGGCAUGUGACUUCAGUGCUGACCUGCGGAGUGACAGUGCUCACUGUGUGGGGGCAGGGUGAUCUUGUGGCUCCGGGACAGGUCCUCCCGGCUGGAGGAUGACUACCUACCAGUUCCUCAGGAUGUCUGGCAGCUUUGGUCUGCCUUGGGCAUUAGAAUCUCUGGCAGAGAUCUGACUCAGCAGUCCCCCACCCCAUCACUGGGAGCACAGGGGCUCUCAAGAGAUCAGAGCCCCACUCGCCCCCAGGAUCUUAUCUAGCAAACUUGUCAUAUCCAGUUUCUGCUGUAAGAAGAAAGCGAGAAGCACCCCUGCCCUCCACACCCUGCUGGAAUUGAGCCGUGUCAGGCCCCGCCCCCCCCGUGUCCCAGGCCCCGCCCCUCAGAGUCACACAGGAGGGGUGGGGGGCAGAGCAUCCCCCCUGUGUUCACUUCUGUCCAAUCUUUGUUUUAACAAGCAAGACCCCUCCCUCCUUUCUUUAAUGGUUUUUUGUAGUUGAUUUGUCUGAACUGUGGCUGUUGUGCAUUAUCUUUGAAUAAUCACUUGUAAAAAUUGUUGAUGCUUGAAGCUAUUUCCUUUACUCAAGUUGAAAGGACUCUGUUGGCUUUGGGGUCUUGACAGUGACUCCAAGAGCAGAGUGGGGAAGAGCCCGGGCAUAGCCUUGGUGCCAGGGAGGCUGCAGUCCAGUUUCAUGAUUCUGCUUUUUGUGUCUACCUUCAAGUGACUCACAGUAUACAUUCCUCUGAAAUAAAAACAGUGAACAGUCUGAAUCCUUAGAGAGCUUCAUGUCUUGGU